GUGAGGAAUAUUGGACAAUGGAGGCAACUCUGAUCCAGCCAUGCCGCGUGAAGGACUAAGGCCCUAUGGGCUGUAAACUUCUUUAGACGCAGAGCAAUAAGGGCCACGCGUGGUCCGAUGAGAGUAUGCGUAGAAUAAGCAUCGGCUAACUCCGUGCCAGCAGCCGCGGUAAUACGGGGGAUGCGAGCGUUAUCCGGAUUCAUUGGGUUUAAAGGGUGCGUAGGCGGCUUUGCAAGUCAGCGGUGAAAGGCCCGGGCUCAACCCGGAAAGUGCCGUUGAUACUGUGAGGCUGGAAUGCGGAUGCUGUGGGAGGAAUGAGUGGUGUAGCGGUGAAAUGCAUAGAUAUCACUCAGAACACCGAUUGCGAAGGCAUCUCACAAAUCCGCAAUUGACGCUGAGGCACGAAAGCGUGGGGAUCGAACAGGAUUAGAAACCCUAGUAGUCC
RNAcentral lists this ribosomal RNA (445 nucleotides) under uncultured bacterium. RNAcentral describes it as "bacterial SSU rRNA". It matches the Rfam family "Bacterial small subunit ribosomal RNA", at positions 354 to 796 of the family's 1533-position model. The record is from RNAcentral.